CAUGCAGUCGAGCGGUAACACAGAGGAGCUUGCUCCUUGGGUGACGAGCGGCGGACGGGUGAGUAAUGCCUGGGGAUCUGCCCGAUAGAGGGGGAUAACUACGGGAAACUGUAGCUAAUACCGCAUAAUGUCUACGGACCAAAGUGGGGGCUCUUCGGACCUCAUGCUAUCGGAUGAACCCAGGUGGGAUUAGCUAGUUGGUGAGGUAAUGGCUCACCAAGGCGACGAUCUCUAACUGGUUUGAGAGAAUGACCAGUCACACUGGAACUGAGACACGGUCCAGACUCCUACGGGAGGCAGCAGUGGGGAAUAUUGCACAAUGGGCGCAAGCCUGAUGCAGCCAUGCCGCGUGUGUGAAGAAGGCCUUCGGGUUGUAAAGCACUUUCAGCGGGGAGGAAGGGUCACUAGUUAAUACCUAGUGGCAUUGACGUUACUCGCAGAAGAAGCACCGGCUAACUCCGUGCCAGCAGCCGCGGUAAUACGGAGGGUGCAAGCGUUAAUCGGAAUUACUGGGCGUAAAGCGCACGCAGGCGGUUUGUUAAGUCAGAUGUGAAAUCCCCGAGCUCAACUUGGGAACUGCAUUUGAAACUGGCAAGCUAGAGUCUUGUAGAGGGGGGUAGAAUUCCAGGUGUAG
Molecule: ribosomal RNA, 634 nt
Filed under: Plesiomonas shigelloides
Lineage: Bacteria; Pseudomonadati; Pseudomonadota; Gammaproteobacteria; Enterobacterales; Enterobacteriaceae
Description: bacterial SSU rRNA
Rfam family: Bacterial small subunit ribosomal RNA
Source: RNAcentral